AUACGGGGGGUGCAAGCGUUAUUCGGAUUUAUUGGGCGUAAAGGGCGCGUAGGCGGCUUGGAAAGUCAGAUGCGAAAGCCCGGGGCUCAACCCCGGAAGUGCAUUUGAAACUAUCAGGCUUGAGUAUGUGAGAGGGACGUGGAAUUCCUGGUGUAGAGGUGAAAUUCGUAGAUAUCAGGAGGAACACCGGUGGCGAAGGCGACUUCCUGGACCAAUACUGACGCUGAGGCGCGAAGGCGUGGGGAGCAAACAGAAUUAGAAACCCUAGUAGUCC
RNAcentral lists this ribosomal RNA (274 nucleotides) under uncultured bacterium. Its description in RNAcentral is "partial 16S ribosomal RNA". It matches the Rfam family "Bacterial small subunit ribosomal RNA", at positions 523 to 796 of the family's 1533-position model. The record is from RNAcentral.